RNAcentral lists this ribosomal RNA (504 nucleotides) under uncultured bacterium. RNAcentral describes it as "bacterial SSU rRNA". It matches the Rfam family "Bacterial small subunit ribosomal RNA", at positions 791 to 1289 of the family's 1533-position model. The record is from RNAcentral.
UAGUCCACGCCGUAAACGAUGUCUACUAGCCGUUGGGAGACUUGAUUUCUUAGUGGCGCAGCUAACGCACUAAGUAGACCGCCUGGGGAGUACGGCCGCAAGGUUAAAACUCAAAUGAAUUGACGGGGGCCCGCGCAAGCGGUGGAGCAUGUGGUUUAAUUCGACGCAACGCGAAGAACCUUACCCAGACUUGACAUUGAUGGAACCCUGUAGAGAUACGGGGGUGCCCUUCGGGGCCCAGAAAACAGGUGCUGCAUGGCUGUCGUCAGCUCAUGUCGUGAGAUGUUGGGUUAAGUCCCGCAACGAGCGCAACCCUUGCCGUUAGUUGCCAUCAGGUAAUGCUGGGCACUCUAACGGGACUGCCGGUGUCAAACCGGGNGGAAGGUGGGGAUGACGUCAAGUCCUCACGGCCUUUAUGUCUGGGGGCUACACACGUGCUGCAAUGGGCGCAUACAGAGGGGUAGCGAACUAGCAAUAGUAAGCCAAUCUCAGAAAGUGCGUCUC